Molecule: long non-coding RNA, 988 nt
Filed under: Mytilus galloprovincialis (Mediterranean mussel)
Lineage: Eukaryota; Metazoa; Mollusca; Bivalvia; Mytilida; Mytilidae
Source: RNAcentral
GCUCAUUUUUAAUUUUAUUUUCUAACUGUGGAGUGCUACCUCAUGCCUUUGUUUAACCCGGCUUUGGUUUGAACCCACGAAUCCGUAUUCGAUAUAUAAAGCGAGUCGGUGAUUCUUAAUAUACACCUAGAUACCUCAUAUUGAAAUGCAUCAUAUACAAAAAUUUGUGCACAGCAAAUCAAACUAUAACUGUUUUCAAGAACACAUACAAAACUCUAUUAUUACCAGAUUUUACAACUAGAAUUCAGUUUAUUAGAUGUGUUGACUUCAGUUUAAUUAUAAUUUAUAGCUUAUUUCGCAAGAUAGAAAUUUGAGCUGUGUUGUUUUAAUUCAUCUGUUCAGGUGAUAUUGUUUUUGAGAAGGGAUUAUUUUAUGCACUAAGCAUAUGAAACAUGUGAUUUCUAGCGCACUACAUGUAAAUGCAAAUGUUAUGUUUGAAAAAAGGCUUGCGUCGUUCACCCAGGAUUCGGUAUCAGACUUUGGUGAUAUAAUUAAGAAAUAAUUCAUGGAAGCCAUAGAUUGUUGGAAAUUUACACAUGGCCUAGGCCGUGAUAUUCGAAUUUUAUCCCGAGAUUGUUGGAAAUUUACACAUGGCCUGGGCCGUGAACAGCGAGGGAUAAAAUUAACGAAUAUCACGGCCCAGGCCAUGUGUAAAUUUCCAACAAUCUAUGGCUUCCAUGAAUUAUUUCGAUUCUAAUAGGACAAAUACGGUCAUUAAAAAACUGAAGCGAGGGAGGGUAUGCUGUGUGUGUGGCUGUUCUUUUUUACUCCCUGUUAGAUAAAGCUCAAAUAUCUUUAUAAAUAUGUAGCUUGCGAAGUUUAUUUCUUGAAUAACUGAUAGAAAAAAUCGUUUUAAUUCUUUAAAUUCUCAAACCCAACAUUUGCCAUUUUUAAUUUACAUGUUUUUCUCGUAAGCUUCGGUCAAAUCCAAAGUCGACAUUUUGUAACUAAGGAGCCGCCAUGUUGACUUGCUGAAAUGAGUAAAUAU